This is a long non-coding RNA of Phyllopteryx taeniolatus (common seadragon), 1054 nucleotides long. RefSeq lists it as uncharacterized. Lineage: Eukaryota; Metazoa; Chordata; Actinopteri; Syngnathiformes; Syngnathidae. The transcript is spliced from 3 exons. The record is from RefSeq and is a predicted model, not a curated record.
CGUGCGGACGCCGCCGUUGUUCGACGGGCUGCCCGACAUCAACCACUGCGGGGCGCAAAGUUCGCCUCCAUCCGGGGAAAGUCCCCACCCGAGAGAAAACGCUUGAAAAACACGCGUGGAGGACUCGAGUCAAGUUACGGUUUCUACCGGGACGAAACGCUUCAACCCAAAAUGGCCGACUUCCUGUGUCUUUUUGAACAUGUCUACCAAAUGUCUGGUUGUCAAGCGGAAGUGGCUUCAGAUGGGUGCAACGGUAACGGCAACGGCAACGGUAACGGCAACGGCAACGGCAGGCCCGCUUCUCACAUUCCCCGAGCACGCCGGAGCCGACGUGCGGGAAUGCGGCCGGAAUCUCUCACAAGUCCCAAAUCCGGAUUUCUAAUCUUCCCAGGGUUCGCUCGUGGCGCGUUGUGAGACGUUGUUUUGUACAAUUAUUACAUAAUAAAGUGCCCAAAAAAAAAAAAAAAGUAAGAAUAUGUAAUUAUUUUUGUGUUUUAUGUUUAUUACAUUGAAUUACAAUAGUAAAUGUUUUGUUUUUUUUCCCAAAAAUAAAAAACAACUAAUAUUUGAACUAAUUAAUAUUGCUCUAAUACAUACAAUUAAUAUGUUAAUGGUGUCAAAUAAUGACAAUAUUAUCACUGGUAAAUUUAGUCAAGCAGCAUAUUUUGCCUGCCACUCAAAUACAAAACGUAUUAUGUAAAUUGAAUCCAAAUCAUGAAUUAUGUAUCACCCAAUGAAAAGCAUUUAGCGUCCCACACAAAGUAUUUUUCUCCUUCAGCAAAAUCAAAAUGGAAGUAGGUGCUAUCCAAAAGUCAACACAAGCACAUCCUGUGCUGGGAAGCUCCCACUACGAGCCCCCUCCCCCCCCGGCCUGCGCGAGGCGGGGUGUCGACGGACGGAUCCACAUCAAAGCCCCUCCAAAACAACACCCCACCCUCGCUCACCGGCGAUAGCGCCGGCCGGGGCAUUCGGGCCCUGGGGGGCGGUGGGGGCACGGCCCCCUGACAACCCCGGACAGCUGAGUGGGCUCAGGCUGCAAACUCCGGCGCUGUAA